Molecule: transfer RNA, 106 nt
Filed under: Paragemmobacter straminiformis
Lineage: Bacteria; Pseudomonadati; Pseudomonadota; Alphaproteobacteria; Rhodobacterales; Paracoccaceae
Description: tRNA-Gln
Source: RNAcentral
GCGACUGGGUGCCGCUGGUGACGGAGCGCCCUUUGGAGGCGGUGGCGUCGCACACGCAUUUCGACCAUAUCGGCUGCCACCACGAAUUUCCCUGCCGGUCGUACCA